This 3329-nucleotide long non-coding RNA is filed under the name Pongo abelii (Sumatran orangutan). RNAcentral's name for it is "lincRNA". The record is from RNAcentral. Lineage: Eukaryota; Metazoa; Chordata; Mammalia; Primates; Hominidae.
UAUGUUGAUGAAGCCUCCAGAUAGCAGGCUUCAGAGAGGAUAGAUGUGCAUGUCUCUUAUAGGCCCUUAAAAGGGUCAGAGUCUCCAGAAAAAGCCUAAUAAGGGAAGCAGAUUCUCUGCAGAAUGCAGAUUUCCCCCAUGAGAGACAGCUUUGCAAGGGCCAUUUCAAUAUAUGUCAAGGAAAUAUAUUUUGGGGUAAAAUACUUUGAUUCCUUCAGGGCUACUGUGUGUCAUGUGAUGCUAUACCAGAGUCCCGUUGAAUUGGGUAUCUUAUUGCUACAAAGAGUCUGUUUUGUCAGUCUAGGAUCUCUGUUUUUAUUUUAAUGUUGGUCAGUUGUGUCUAAAUUCCAGAGCUGGGAGGGUAUAAUGAGGCAUCCCCAGCCCUCCUUCCCAUUCAUGGCCUGAGCUGGUUUUUCAGGUUUUUUUGGGUCCCUGUGGCUGAAAGGGGAUGCACUCAGUUGGCUGGGGACUUAGAAUUUUAGUUUUGGUUUACAGCAGGAUUUGAUGGGCAUGCAUAUUAAUCAAUGUGAAAGUGUUGUCUGUGGGCGGCAGAGGGCUUGGGCCAUGUCCAGGCCACGCACUGCAAGGGUGCAGCCCCCACACAUGGUCCCUGCUCCUAAAGCUGUUGUCCCCACUGCAAGAGUGGAGUAGGUUGAGGUGUAGCCAUGACAUUCUAGAAACUACAUUUUUUGUAAUGGUCAUUUUGAAAAUAAAACAUUUGAAAACACUGUGCAGCAAAAACUUGACUAAUUGGAAUAAAAAUGUUCAGUUUAAUGUCAUUGCUUUCUGCCACUCGUUUUCUGAUUGUAAAACUAGCAUGUGAUUGUAAGCUACUAUUUUGGUAAUGUAGAAAAGUUUAAAGAUGAAAAUAGAUAUCACUUAUAACUCCACAUGGAGAAAUAGUUGCCCCUCCAGUUUAAUUGAUUUACUUUUGGGCCACAGGGGCCCAGAAUUUGAUUCUUUGUACUCCUUGGUUCAUGCCAGUGUUCCUGCACCCAGCACUGAAGCUGGACAUUGACAGUGACUUGCCCCUGCCCCAAAGUCCUCCCUGCAUUCCCCUCGAGGGCCCCCAUCUCCUGGCCCUGGUGUCCACUUUCCUCUCAGCUGCCAGGAACGUGUUAGUGUGCACUGUUCUCCUUCCCCUCACCUGCUGGCAUCAUGUUAGCAUGCACUGUUCUGCUCACUUUCUUCCCUCCUCACCUGCACCGUGCCAUCUUAGCAUCACGCAUGCCUGCACUUUCCUUCUCUCACCUGCCAGGCAUCAUCGUUAGCAUGCACCGUUCUGCUCACUUUCUUCCUCUCACCUGCCGGGACCAUCUUAGCAUGCACCAUUCUGCUCACUUUCUUCUUCUCACCUGCCAGGAUCAUCGUUAGCAUGGCCACCUUUCUGCCACUUUGCUUCCUCCCCUCUCAUCUGCUGGAUCACUUAGAUGACAUGCCUCCUCAUGCUCAUUUAGCAUGCACCAUUCUGCCACUUUCUUCUUCUCGCCUGCUGGGAUGAUGUUCGUGUGUACUGUUCUGCACACUUUCUUCCUCUCACCUGCUGGGAUCACGUUAGCAUGAACCAUUCUGCACACUUCCUUCCCCUCAUCUGCCAAGGUCAUCUUAGCAUGCACCAUUCUGCACACUUUCUUCCUCUCGCCUGCUGGGAUCAUGUUAGCGUGCACGGUUCUGCACACUUGCUUCCCCUCACCUGCCAGGAACAGGUUAGUGUUCCCCACUCUGCACACUUUCUUCCUCUCACCUGCCGGGAUCAUGUUAUCGUGCACUGUUCUGCACACUUUCUUCCUUUCACCUGCCGGAAUCAUGUUAGCGUGCACCAUUCUGCACACUUUCUUCCUCUGUGUAAGUGUGUGUGGUUUUUCCUUUCAGAAAUGGGUCAUACUCUGUGGACAUCUUUUUCCACUUAAAGUGAUGGCACAGCCAUUUUCCCAGUCAAGUAACAUGAAUGUACAAGAUUAGCAAACUUCCUCCUGAGAGAUGGAGAGUUCAAGGCUUCUGCUCCGUGGUGGCCGUCCGUGCACAUGCAUCGCUGUGCGUGAGUUGGUCCCAGUGGCUUGCUGAGACACGCUCUGCACAGGGGAGAUUUCUGAUACCACCAGGGUGGCAGGCAGUGGGGCAGGUGGAGCCACAAGUGGGGAUGAGGGAGCAGAGUCUAGGGCAGGCUCCUGGAUGGACACCAGCUACACUAUCUAUUGGAUGUGGGACUUCCCUCACUGAUGAAAUGAAUAAGAGAAGCUUCCUCAUCCUGCUGUUGUUGGCGUUAAAACGGGUUAAUGCAUGAAAGCAACAGAGCCCGGCCUGCAGACAGCGCUUGGUAAGUCUCCCCUUCCCAGCAUGUUCAACAGGAAGCCCUCAUUCCCCCUAGAAUGUAGGAGUCUUGCCAGCGGUGGCUUGUUUGUUCUCUGCCUGUUGCCGACCUGAUGGGAACAUAAAAUUGGUGUCUUCUGUAUAGAUUUCCUUCUUGUUGCCCCUCCUGUGGCUGAACAUACCUUCCCCUGUGCUUGAAGUCUGUUCAUGUAUGUUCUGCUGCGAUCACUGCCCAUUCUUGUUCUCUGUCUAAUCAAGCAUUUAGUUUUGAAAAUAUUUUUUGGCUUGUAAGAUAUUUGUACAUAUUAAGCACAGCAAAUCUGUAACAUAUUCACUGUAAAUCAUUAUUCCUCAUGCAUCAUUUGCCAUUUAACCGUAGUUUUUUUUUCUUUUUGAUGUAACCUGCUAAAGUUUACAUUUUUAAAUCAGAAAUACAUGCAUAUUUUAAAACGAAGACUCUUAUGCUCUAGCCUUUCAUGCUUGGAAAGUCCUUUUCCACACCAAAAUUAUUUACAUUUUCAUCUCUUUUUCUCUGAGUACAUUUCAGUGUUUAAUUGACCGGGAAUGUAUUUUGAGGUGUGAUGUGAGACAAGGAUCUGAAAUGCUUUGCCCACUGAAUCAUCAUGCACUGACCGAAAUGCCACCUGUAUGAGUGCUAAAAUAAUUGUCACUGGACCUGUGUCUACACUGUUUAAUUUUACUGUUGUUUCUCACAUCGGCUUCUGUUGUUUUCAUGGUUGUGGUUCUCAUACUUUUAAUAUCUGUUGGAGCAAAUAAAGCCUCGUUUCUCAUCUUUUCCAAAAAUGUCUUAUGUAUUUGAACUUUGGUGUUAUUUGUCAAGUCUGGGCAUUCUCCCACCCCCAUAUUAAAGAAUGUCCUCUGGAGUUUGUCUGGAGGUUUUGCUUAACUUUUAGAUUCAUAUCAGGAGAAUCUAUAUCUUCAUGGUUAGUGGUCUUCCCAUCCGAGACUAUUUCUUCAAGCUGUUUUUAAUAAAAAGCUGUGUGUUUUUUGUAUGUUUA